This 250-nucleotide long non-coding RNA is filed under the name Lathyrus oleraceus (garden pea). Its description in RNAcentral is "Pisum sativum (pea) long non-coding RNA (PSAT_LNC028040)". The record is from RNAcentral. Lineage: Eukaryota; Viridiplantae; Streptophyta; Magnoliopsida; Fabales; Fabaceae.
UAUUAUUGUACCAGAAUUGAAGCCUCCAUUUGGAGCAGGUUCUUAUUUAUCGCUUUAUUUAUUUAUUUCCCGCAGCGCUUUUAUUUAUUUAUUUCCCGCAUCGCUUUUAUUUUAUUUAUUUCCCACAUCGCUUUUAUUUUAUUUAUUCUCCGCACCGCUUUUAUUUUAUUUAUUUUCCGCACUCGCUUUACUUUAUUUAUGUUCCGCACGCGCUUUACUUUAUUUAUUUUCCGCACUCGUUUUACUUUAU